ACAAACGAGGAAGUAAUGGCGUCUCGCGUCGUUUCGCUUUCCGAUAUUCCUGACAAAUUAUCAUAAAUGUGACAUUACAAUGCGAAAAAAAUAGAAGUCAAAGGAAUUUGUAACUGGCUGCUACAUCGGAAGGCUCGAUAUAUCUUUAGAAAAUGACGAUAUCUAACAUUGACGGGGUGAAAUCUAUCCAAGUCAGAGAAAAUCGGAUAGCCGCCAUGUUGUCAACAUUGACAUCGAUACAAAGGAAAAGCGUGUGUGACAGUGUGACGCAUACUGUAAAUGCAAACAAGGAAAUUGUGGAACAUGUUCACACACUCUGGCUUUAAAAGUAGACCCGAGAGGAAAAUUGCCCCCGGUGUGGGGUUCGAACUCACAACCACCAGAACACUAGCCCAGCUCUCUAACCAACUAAGCUGACCGGGCAGCUGGUUCUAACCCACACACACUACCCUCCCCCCAUUUACCGGAUAAGGCUGGUGGAGGGUCUCCUGCUAUUUACCGUUGACACUAUUAAAGUAUUCUGAUUGAUGGAGAUAAGGAAGUCCCCUUAUUAUUGUCUUCAACAAGCCUACCGCAACAGGGGACCUAGCAUAAGACCGGAAACCGCCCCCCCCCCCCCCCCCCCACACACACAUGAUAUUUGCCAGUCCAGGCAAUGUCAACCGCAAGAGAAAACCAGUGAUGACAAGAUUUACAAAUAAUCGGAAAGUGUGGUCUUUUGAAGAGAGUUCUUGAAGUUGUUCAGCAUGUUGUUUUGAUGGAUUCUUGGAAGGAUGUACCUCUAUGAUGUUAGCUUCAGUUCUGGAUUAUAACACCAGUUGUUGCAUAUUUAACAUCAGAUUUAUUAAAUACAUUGUUGUUUUGCAAACAUUAUUUAAACUUUGAUAUUUCUUUGGUGUUUAUGUAUGAUAUUGUAGGUGAAUAUCUCUUUAUUGCUAUGGCAAAUAUAUUUUAAAAUAUAUAGCAUUAGCAGAAGUUAUUUUUCACUGUUAAAGCUGCACUUCCACAGAUUGGUCAUUUUGACAACUUACACAGGAUUUGAUUGCAUUUAUCAUAUUUUGGCUCGGAGAAGUUUGCUUUGUGAUUUAUAUUUUAGGUCUUAAUUUAAAGAAUGCCAAAAUAAGCCGAUUCUGAGACAAAAAGUGUCAAACUAGAAUUCUGUGAGAGUGCAACUUUAAGAAUACUAUUAAUUGAGUGUGCAUAUGAUCCGGACUCUGAACAUUGGAUGAACUAUCAUUAAAUAUUGUAGAUUUACGUAAAUGGCCAAAAAUAUAAGAAUAACAAUGAAAAUAUGUACAUGUUUGACUUGUUCUUUAUUCAGUGGCGUAGCUACAUAUAGGCCUUGUAGGCCUGGGCCUACAACUUUUUUGGAGAAUGUCAAAAUUAAAUAACCCGAAAAAGCAAUAAAAACUAAUAGCUACUCAAACUUAGAACAAACUCAAAAGUUUGUUUUAUUAUGACCAAUGCAAGUUCGGUGCUUAUUUAAACUAUGUGCAAGGUGAUUUUAUUUUAAUCAUUGCAUAUUUAAUAAAGUUUGUGUAGUUUGCAUGUACAAUGGAUGCACUUGUGCUUUUGGUUUUUCUCCUGAAAUGCUUCUUAAUUUCAGCAUUUUGCUUCUUAUUUAGAAAGAAACUUUGGGGUGGAGAUGGGGGCUUAUCCCCAAACUCACAUAGAUCCAUCGGGCCUUAAAGUUUUU
Molecule: long non-coding RNA, 1696 nt
Organism: Mya arenaria
Lineage: Eukaryota; Metazoa; Mollusca; Bivalvia; Myida; Myidae
Exons: 3
Source: RefSeq, a predicted model, not a curated record